RNAcentral lists this ribosomal RNA (737 nucleotides) under uncultured Corynebacterium sp. RNAcentral describes it as "bacterial SSU rRNA". It matches the Rfam family "Bacterial small subunit ribosomal RNA", at positions 28 to 776 of the family's 1533-position model. The record is from RNAcentral. Lineage: Bacteria; Bacillati; Actinomycetota; Actinomycetes; Mycobacteriales; Corynebacteriaceae.
GACGAACGCUGGCGGCGUGCUUAACACAUGCAAGUCGAACGGAAAGGCCUGCAGCUUGCUGCGGGUACUCGAGUGGCGAACGGGUGAGUAACACGUGGGUGAUCUGCCUUGCACUUCGGGAUAAGCUUGGGAAACUGGGUCUAAUACCGGAUAGGACAGCUGUUUAGUGUCAGUUGUGGAAAGUUUUUUCGGUGCAAGAUGAGCUCGCGGCCUAUCAGCUUGUUGGUGGGGUAAUGGCCUACCAAGGCGUCGACGGGUAGCCGGCCUGAGAGGGUGUACGGCCACAUUGGGACUGAGAUACGGCCCAGACUCCUACGGGAGGCAGCAGUGGGGAAUAUUGCACAAUGGGCGGAAGCCUGAUGCAGCGACGCCGCGUGGGGGAUGAAGGCCUUCGGGUUGUGAACUCCUUUCGACAGGGACGAAGCGUAAGUGACGGUACCUGUAUAAGAAGCAUCGGCUAACUACGUGCCAGCAGCCGCGGUAAUACGUAGGGUGCGAGCGUUGUCCGGAAUUACUGGGCGUAAAGAGCUCGUAGGUGGUUUGUCGCGUCGUCUGUGAAAUUCCGGGGCUUAACUCCGGGCGUGCAGGCGAUACGGGCUGACUUGAGUGCUGUAGGGGAGACUGGAAUUCCUGGUGUAGCGGUGAAAUGCGCAGAUAUCAGGAGGAACACCGAUGGCGAAGGCAGGUCUCUGGGCAGUAACUGACGCUGAGGAGCGAAAGCAUGGGUAGCGAACAGG